GGGAAUAUGGCUUAAUGGUAGAGUGCUUGCCUAGCAUGUAGGAAACCCUGGGUUUGAUUUCUCAGUACCA
Molecule: transfer RNA, 70 nt
Filed under: Dipodomys ordii (Ord's kangaroo rat)
Lineage: Eukaryota; Metazoa; Chordata; Mammalia; Rodentia; Heteromyidae
Rfam family: tRNA
About the family: Transfer RNA (tRNA) molecules are approximately 80 nucleotides in length. Their secondary structure includes four short double-helical elements and three loops (D, anti-codon, and T loops). Further hydrogen bonds mediate the characteristic L-shaped molecular structure. tRNAs have two regions of fundamental functional importance: the anti-codon, which is responsible for specific mRNA codon recognition, and the 3' end, to which the tRNAs corresponding amino acid is attached (by aminoacyl-tRNA synthetases). tRNAs cope with the degeneracy of the genetic code in two manners: having more than one tRNA (with a specific anti-codon) for a particular amino acid; and 'wobble' base-pairing, i.e. permitting non-standard base-pairing at the 3rd anti-codon position.
Source: Rfam by way of RNAcentral